RNAcentral lists this non-coding RNA (28 nucleotides) under Rattus norvegicus (Norway rat). Lineage: Eukaryota; Metazoa; Chordata; Mammalia; Rodentia; Muridae. The record is from RNAcentral.
UGGACAAAAGUAGCCAUUUAAUUGUUGA